AGAGUUUGAUCCUGGCUCAGGACGAACGCUGGCGGCGUGCCUAACACAUGCAAGUCGAACGGAGAAUUUGGAAAAGCUUGCUUAGAAGAAUUCUUAGUGGCGGACGGGUGAGUAACGCGUGGGUAACCUACCCAUAAAACCGGGACAACCCUUGGAAACGAGGGCUAAUACCGGAUAAUCUUAGAUCUUGGCAUCAAGGACUAAGGAAAGGUGGCCUCUGUAUAUGCUACCGAUUAUGGAUGGACCCGCGUCUGAUUAGCUAGUUGGUGGGGUAAAGGCCUACCAAGGCGACGAUCAGUAGCCGGCCUGAGAGGGUGAACGGCCACACUGGGACUGA
RNAcentral lists this ribosomal RNA (337 nucleotides) under uncultured bacterium. RNAcentral describes it as "bacterial SSU rRNA". It matches the Rfam family "Bacterial small subunit ribosomal RNA", at positions 8 to 322 of the family's 1533-position model. The record is from RNAcentral.